Molecule: long non-coding RNA, 738 nt
Filed under: Capsicum annuum
Lineage: Eukaryota; Viridiplantae; Streptophyta; Magnoliopsida; Solanales; Solanaceae
Description: long non-coding RNA (CANN_LNC015434)
Source: RNAcentral
GUGAAAAACUUUUCAUAAUUUGUUGGUCUCUGAUGUAUAAGCCCAUGCUAACACAUUUGAAGCUUUUAACUCUAAAUAAUUACAAAGUCUUGAGCAACUUUAGUCGUUUUUUGAUUAGUUUACUUUGGUUUUGCAGUAAAACUAGAGAAGAAGGAGAACCACAAAUAAAGGAAGCAAAAAGUAUGAAAUCGGAAGCAAAUGAUGAGCUAAGUGUGGCUGACGACAUCUAUGACACGUCGUCAACCUGGUGAUAGGCUGUCAAGAAUGCCGUCAAACUUAAGUAGAAGAGGGGAGUUGCAGGAAGUUUUGUGACGACCUUCAUGACACGCCGUCAAGAUCCUGAUAGGCCAUCACUGUCAUCGUCAACCUUAGGCAGCAGAAGCUGAAGUUGCAGAGAAGUUGACGAUGUCUGUGAUAGGCCGUCAAAAUCAUGAUAGGCCGUCACAAUCGCUGUCAUCUAUUCUGAAGAAAAUAUGAAACUUUAAUUUUAUUUUCUUAUUUAGGGUUAACUAUUUAAAUCCUUGUUUUAGGGUUUUUCUAUGAUGCAUCAAUUAAUUGACAUAUCCUACGAUAUACGACUUUUUCUUCUCUCUCAAAGAAGAAGAUAAAUAUUUUGGUGGUUUGCCUUGUGAUUAAAUUGAAAGAAUACUUUUGAUUUCCUUCAUUAUUGUAAGUCAAUCCUUUCAAUUAUGAAUUCAACUUGUGUGCUUAUUUCCUGCAUCAUGAGUAGCUAAACAC